GAGAGAACCAAGGAGGACUGAAGAUGCUGGACCACAGGAACGCUAGAACACACUGGAAUGCUGGAACAGAACACGAUGAUCACCAGAUUCGGACAAAAGAGGGAGUUCUCCCUUUCUCCUGGCCUAAAAGGAGCAGUUAGGAGAUACUGGUCUUGAUCCAACUGCACUGUUGCAGGGAUGAUGGAGGAGAAGGAACAGUCAGGAAAGAAGUAGAUGGAAACGAACGAAUGAAAAGAGAGAGAGCACAAGCUACAAGAUCUGCAAUCAUUAGAAAUGGAGUUACUGAGUUUGAUAAAAUAACUGGAACCUUCUUCUAAAACUCAGAAUAAAGCAAACCCACACUGUGGGUGAGGUUAAAAUAA
Mauremys reevesii (Reeves's turtle) is the source of this 362-nucleotide long non-coding RNA. RefSeq lists it as uncharacterized. The transcript is spliced from 3 exons. The record is from RefSeq and is a predicted model, not a curated record. Lineage: Eukaryota; Metazoa; Chordata; Testudines; Geoemydidae.